RNAcentral lists this ribosomal RNA (253 nucleotides) under uncultured bacterium. RNAcentral's name for it is "partial 16S ribosomal RNA". It matches the Rfam family "Bacterial small subunit ribosomal RNA", at positions 524 to 776 of the family's 1533-position model. The record is from RNAcentral.
UACGGAGGGGGCUAGCGUUGUUCGGAAUUACUGGGCGUAAAGCGCGCGUAGGCGGACCUGCAAGUCGGGUGUGAAAGCCCGAGGCUCAACCUCGGAACUGCCUUCGAUACUGCGGGUCUCGAGUCCGGGAGAGGUGAGUGGAACUGCGAGUGUAGAGGUGAAAUUCGUAGAUAUUCGCAAGAACACCAGUGGCGAAGGCGGCUCACUGGCCCGGUACUGACGCUGAGGUGCGAAAGCGUGGGGAGCAAACAGG